UCGCCACUCCCCGCGCCGCCAAGCCUGAAGAUACACACUCCCGCACACCCUACACACCCAUCCACUCCGCCCCAGCCGGGGCGGGGGUGGCGGAGGUGGGACGGGCGGAAGGUCGAGCAGGAAGCGAGGGGGUCCCCCGCUGAGCUGAUAGAGGAGGGAGCCCAGGCAGAAGACCAGCAGGGUGGCCAUGCAGAAGCCGUAGUCCCGGAGGGAGAAGCGCAGGAAAGGCAGCAGGGGCAGCCGGCGCUUCCAGCUGCCCAGGCCCGGAGGGGCGCCCCCCAAAGGGGCCCCAUGGGGCCAGGGAUCCGCGCCGCCGCCGGGAUGCUGCUGCUUCUUCUUCAUCGCCUGCUCCGCCGCCUCGCACAGCCUGCUCGUGCCAGGAAAAGCGACCUCUUCGGGGCCCCGCUGACUUCCCUCUCGUAAACAGUCACCGGCAGGAAGAAGCACGACUGACUUUACAUUUUUUGAAGUUCAGAAACUUGAUUCUCCUUAUAUAUCCCGUGCAAGCUGCUUACACAAGGCCGGCAAAAGUGCUUGUCUGGUGAAACCCAGGCUCAGUUAAACCCAAUCAUGCAACUGGACUGGAUUGCAGAAAAACACACAGCGCUGGCUGGAAUGUGGACAUGGAAGGGGCUUAGCUUCCAUCAUGCACAUGAGGACAGUACUCCAAGGAAUAUCAGAGAAACUGGUGAAAGGAACCUAGGAACCUGAAUGCUCUUAAGAAGCGAGCCAUCUGUCUGCUGUGGAUUGCCUACUGCCAUUUGGACUCCCUUGUGAAAAAAAUAAAGUAAAUUCGCUCUACAA
Macaca mulatta (Rhesus monkey) is the source of this 804-nucleotide long non-coding RNA. RefSeq lists it as uncharacterized. The record is from RefSeq and is a predicted model, not a curated record. Lineage: Eukaryota; Metazoa; Chordata; Mammalia; Primates; Cercopithecidae.